RNAcentral lists this ribosomal RNA (223 nucleotides) under Enterobacter cloacae. RNAcentral describes it as "partial 23S ribosomal RNA". It matches the Rfam family "Bacterial large subunit ribosomal RNA", at positions 2726 to 2925 of the family's 2925-position model. Lineage: Bacteria; Pseudomonadati; Pseudomonadota; Gammaproteobacteria; Enterobacterales; Enterobacteriaceae. The record is from RNAcentral.
AUGCCAAUGGCACUGCCCGGUAGCUAAAUGCGGAAGAGAUAAGUGCUGAAAGCAUCUAAGCACGAAACUUGCCCCGAGAUGAGUUCUCCCUGAGACUUUAAGUCUCCUGAAGGAACGUUAAAGACGAUGACGUUGAUAGGUCGGGUGUGUAAGCGCAGCGAUGCGUUGAGCUAACCGAUACUAAUGAACCGUGAGGCUUAACCUUACAACGCCGAAGGUGUUU